CCCUAGGUUCCAUCUUGCUCCUCUCCGGCGCUAUCAUCACUUCCGUCUUGCUCCUCUCCGGUGCCGGCCGUCCGACUCCAACCCCUUCUCCUCCUCCCUCCUCUCCGGCGCCGACCGACCGACCCCAACCGAGGUAUUUUUCUCCUCCUCCCUCCGCUCCCUUCUUCUCGCUUUUUCUCCUCCUUCUCCGCCUCCUUCUGCAAAGCUUCCGUGUUGCCGAACGACCGACCCCAACACCCCUUGGGCCUUUGAGAGGAAACAAAGGGGAAGCUGGUGAAGCUAAUUUUAGGGUUUUUUGGGCCACGGUAAGGGUAUCGUUUGCUUUCACUUCGCUGCUCCCCGCAUUCCCAUACCCAAUCUCACCACCCUUCUUCCUCCCUUCUUUCAAUCUUCGCAGGGUUACAGUGGAUCGAUCCAGAGGCGUCACCAAUGGCUGGAUUCCGAAGCUAAUUACCACAUCGGAGCUGUUGGGGUCAAAUAUCAGGUGAAGAGCUACUGGUUGAACUCUGAUGGUGCAGAUGUGGUCUUCCAUAUGAUUGAUAAUUUUCUUAUCUAGUCUUCUGAUAAAUUUUGCGGUUCUCAAUUGGCAGGCCACAAACUCAUUCUGGUGUGUAGAACACUGAUGCAAGUACAUUUAUUCUAAAAAUCUCGACCUUGUAGAUAAAUAAUUGUCCUGUGUAUUAGUUGCGCAAUUUUGAUUUGGUUAUAAUUCUUCAUUCAUACACCGCCUAGGGAAUCUGGUAACAAGAAACUGUAGAUUUUCUUAGUAGGUGGAAUUAUCUUGUAAUAGAAUUCAUCAUUUUAUAUCUUAGGAAGAAAUUUCCUACAA
Phoenix dactylifera (date palm) is the source of this 829-nucleotide non-coding RNA. The record is from RefSeq and is a predicted model, not a curated record. NCBI's taxonomy places the organism in Eukaryota, Viridiplantae, Streptophyta, Magnoliopsida, Arecales, Arecaceae.